Long non-coding RNA from Macrobrachium nipponense, 588 nucleotides. RefSeq lists it as uncharacterized. The transcript has 2 exons. Lineage: Eukaryota; Metazoa; Arthropoda; Malacostraca; Decapoda; Palaemonidae. The record is from RefSeq and is a predicted model, not a curated record.
AGAGAGCAGGAGGCACGACAGGCAGCAAAGAGGAGGAGGUCUGAGGCAGUUGAGGCGAGCAGCAGUGAUGAGGAGGCUGCCGACAAUCCUGCACUGUGUGACGACUCAUCUGAAUAUUCAGAUGAGUUCGCAGAAGACCUUGAGCAUGAUGCUGCCUCCUAUCCUUUCGUCCAGAAGGAGCCAGAGGUGGGUGACUUUGUCCUGGUGCAGCUUGUCUUCCAGAAGAAGAGGUCUGAGGACCUUGUCCACUUUGUGGGCAAGGUCAUUUCCCUGGAGACAGACGGCCGGCUGGAGUUGGACUUCUUGAGGAUCAAGUCGCCCUUGCUGAAGGACACCUUCCACUUCCCAGCCAUCGGGGAUGUCGACAGUGUCGACCGCAGCAGGGUGUUGGGGGUCCUUACAGUCAGCACGGGGACCACCCAACGACAAGCAAAGCUCAUCAAGGUCCUCCCUCCCUUGAGGGGCUUUAAUAUGCAUUAGUUUAGUAAUUAGUUUAGUCAUUAGUUUUUAUAGUUUUUAUACAUAUAUAUUUUUUUAUUACAUUGAGAUUUUGCUACCAUAUUUUUUUAUUAAAUUGAGAUUUUGCUA